RNAcentral lists this ribosomal RNA (497 nucleotides) under uncultured bacterium. Its description in RNAcentral is "partial 16S ribosomal RNA". It matches the Rfam family "Bacterial small subunit ribosomal RNA", at positions 28 to 507 of the family's 1533-position model. The record is from RNAcentral.
GAUGAACGCUGGCGGCGUGCCUAAUACAUGCAAGUCGAGCGAACAGACGAGGAGCUUGCUCCUCUGACGUUAGCGGCGGACGGGUGAGUAACACGUGGAUGACCUACCUAUAAGACUGGGAUAACUUCGGGAAACCGGAGCUAAUACCGGAUAAUAUAUUGAACCGCAUGGUUCAAUAGUGAAAGACGGUUUUGCUGUCACUUAUAGAUGGAUCCGCGCCGCAUUAGCUAGUUGGUAAGGUAACGGCUUACCAAGGCAACGAUGCGUAGCCGACCUGAGAGGGUGAUCGGCCACACUGGAACUGAGACACGGUCCAGACUCCUACGGGAGGCAGCAGUAGGGAAUCUUCCGCAAUGGGCGAAAGCCUGACGGAGCAACGCCGCGUGAGUGAUGAAGGUCUUCGGAUCGUAAAACUCUGUUAUUAGGGAAGAACAAAUGUGUAAGUAACUAUGCACGUCUUGACGGUACCUAAUCAGAAAGCCACGGCUAACUACGUG